This is a long non-coding RNA of Cyprinodon tularosa, 834 nucleotides long. RefSeq lists it as uncharacterized. The record is from RefSeq and is a predicted model, not a curated record. Lineage: Eukaryota; Metazoa; Chordata; Actinopteri; Cyprinodontiformes; Cyprinodontidae. The transcript is spliced from 4 exons.
CAGCUCUACAGAGCUGAAUGACUGAUGAGGGAAUUCAGACCUUUGAUUCAGGUCUGAUGGAGAAGAGAUGUGACUGAAAGCUGCAGCAUAGCAGCUCUGGAGGAGUGGAGCUGGAAAGCCCUGAUCUAUAGAAGGACAAUGCUGCUGGAGACAAACUAGAUCUAGAAUAGAACAGUGGCAAAGAUGUGGUGGUCACCAGUUGCACUGGUCUCUGGGAUGAUGGUGAGAAGAUAAAGAUGAUGCUUGGAGGGACUAAUUGAUUUCAGAGCAGUUUGAAGCAGAGGAAAGGACUGAUUUAGGGAUGUGGAUUGUGAAUGGCGCCGACUGUUAGAACCCGCUUUCAGCUGUGAGUUGAUCUAGUUCUAGAUGUUCCUCAGUUAGUUUUCAGCCCUAGUUUAAGGGAAAGAACCCUGUGCAGAAAUAUUCUCCAUGUGAUCUGUGCCAGUUCUGACCGCAGUGGAUCUCUUCUUUGUUUGUGAAUCCCAUGUCGGACCGAGCCGCUACAAGCUUUGGGCCGUCAGAAAACGCUGAAGAGAUCUACGGCGACCAAACCGGAGGAGCAGUAAACAGUGAGAGCAUGUUCAGAACUGUGGACGUCCAAAAUCAGAACUGCUGUGAGGAACCGGGACAUCCAGGAUGCUGAGGAGCCUCCUAGUCCCCACCUGAGGACGGCACAGAGGAGAACACGUGCAGAGAAGCAGGUUGAAUAUGGAAGCAGCGUUCUAACAGUCGGAUCUCAGUGGAACAGAGUCCAUCCACACGUAUUUGGAGGAGCUGAAGCAGAGGAUGGAGAACACAGACCACCAAGGAGGAGAAACAUGGCUGCCCUGCUCG